Molecule: ribosomal RNA, 287 nt
Filed under: Loma morhua
Lineage: Eukaryota; Fungi; Microsporidia; Glugeidae
Description: partial large subunit ribosomal RNA
Rfam family: Bacterial large subunit ribosomal RNA
Source: RNAcentral
CUCUGCGCAAGGGAUCUUUUGGUUCGCUAGACGAAGAAGGGCGCAGCGGAAUGCGAAAUGUGCAGGAGCAGCAGCGAAGAUAGCACAUGCCUGAAAUCACGAGAGUGAGACUACCCCUUUGAAUUAAGCAUAUGAGUAAAGGGAGUUAAAGAAACUAACAAGGAUUCCUGUAGUAGCGGCGAGCGAAGAAGGAACAGCCCCGAGUGUAAUCACCUAAUUAAUAUAGAGUGAGAUGUCAUAAAUCUAUAGAACGAUGUUGAAACUUCGGCCUGAGAGGGUGAUAGCCC